RNAcentral lists this ribosomal RNA (229 nucleotides) under uncultured bacterium. Its description in RNAcentral is "partial 16S ribosomal RNA". It matches the Rfam family "Bacterial small subunit ribosomal RNA", at positions 568 to 796 of the family's 1533-position model. The record is from RNAcentral.
UCCGUAGGUGGAUGAUUAAGUCAGAGGUGAAAUCCUGCAGCUCAACUGUAGAAUUGCCUUUGAUACUGGUCAUCUUGAAUUAUUGUGAAGUGGUUAGAAUAUGUUGUGUAGCGGUGAAAUGCAUAGAUAUUACAUAGAAUACCAAUUGCGAAGGCAGAUCACUAACAAUAUAUUGACACUGAUGGACGAAAGCGUGGGGAGCGAACAGGAUUAGAUACCCUGGUAGUCC